Molecule: RNA transcript, 1483 nt
Organism: Halichondria panicea
Lineage: Eukaryota; Metazoa; Porifera; Demospongiae; Suberitida; Halichondriidae
Gene name: non-structural maintenance of chromosomes element 3 homolog
Exons: 4
Source: RefSeq, a predicted model, not a curated record
GCUCUCCCGUUGUUUCACUAAAGUGUAUUCAUUGUAUAUGCAUGUGACUGUACUGUGCAUGCGUGCAACCCACUAAUUGUCAGUAAUUGACUAGAGGCAUUGUUGUGUGGGGUUAGAUCUAGUGUAGCAAUGCAGUUGUAUUGUAGAGCUAUAUUUAGUUGUCUCCAUGGAUUAUCUCAUGAAUGAAACAAGUGAUGGCAACAACCUAUCUGAUGAGUGUGCUAACAGGACUGCCUCUAUUGUGCUACAGUCUACCCUACCAGUCAUUCUCAUAUGCCAUGCUUGUGUACUCACCAUCCUAGUUGUCUCCAGUGUUCUCACCAAUUCUAUUGUGAUUCUGUUGAUCUGCAAAUACAAACUUCUGCAAGUUAGAAAUGUCAUACUUAUUGCAAGCCUCACUGCUGCAGAUGUUCUGCUAAACAUAUUCUAUUCUCUGCCAUCUCUGGUGAAUACUAUCUCCAAACAGUGGCUAUUCACAGACCAUGGAUGUACAGCAUUUGGAUUUCUAGCCUAUGAGUUUUUGUUAACCCGUUGGAUUCUCAUGGGAAUGCUUUGCUUGGACAGAUUCUUUACAGUUCGUUUUCCAUUCAGCUACCCCAGACACAGUAAGAAGAUUCUAUUGAUCCUUGCAGCAGUGGCUUGGAUUCUCCCGUUUCUAAUUUCGUCGGCUGUUUUGUUUGGAGUUGGCGAAGGUCGAUUGAGAGAAGGAGGACCUACUUGUUUACCGACGUGUGUUGACGAUCCCCGUUGUCAGCUCUAUUAUGCUGUCUGCACUUCAGGUACAUUCUUUAUCGGAGGUAUUCUACCAGUGCUGCUGUAUACGUGGAUGUUCUAUCAGGGAAAGAAAGGGAGGUCUAUACUACAAAUGGGAGUUAUGUCGGCCACUGAAACAGGAGGGAGUAUGGCCGUGAGACGAUCGUUCAGUCAUUCACUGGAUUACCGAGAAAAACGAGCGCUUGUAACAUUUCUGCUUUUGUUAGUAACUGUUCUUGUCACCGGCGUUCCCGCUUAUAUCCUACAAGUUGUCCGUACAGCAAGCGUUUAUUAUUCGUGUCAGAUUCCAAUCUACGUUUCGUUUGUAAUCACUGAGCUCUUAAUGUCGGCAUCAACCUUAAACGCUUUAGUUAUUAUGAGAGAUAGAGACUUUCGUCAUUGUUUCAAACAAUUUUUUUGUCGACGGUUAUCAUCUCAAACAAAAGAUUCAUUUACAGGCAACAGUGUGUCAAAAAGUGCAUCAAAUCGUCUUAGCAAAGAAACGACAGAGAAUGGACUGCAAUUGUCAAGUGACUCUGAGCAAGGCUGAUAAAUCGAGAGUGGGUCUACUCUCUGUUGUUCUCGCUCUCAUUAUGAUGAAACAAGGCAGAAUGUCUGAAGAACAUCUUUGGAGUUGUUUGGGGCGGCUAAAGCUAUCUCGUGACGGGAUGAAACAUUCUACUUUUGGAGAUGUGGGAAGAAUUAUCAGCAAAGAAUUUGUGGAAGAGCU